UACAGAGGUCUCAAGCGUUAAUCGGAAUUACUGGGCUUAAAGGGUCCGCAGGCGGACCAGCAAGUACCUUGUGAAAUCUCAGGUCUCAACCCUGAGUCUGCUAGGUAGACUGCUGGUCUUGAGUGCAAAAGGGGUCGCUGGAACUCUAGGUGGAGCGGUGAAAUGCGUAGAUAUCAGGAAGAACACCCGUGGCUAAGGCGGCUCUCUAGUACGGUACUGACGCUGAGACGCGAAAGCGUGGGGAGCGAACAGG
This 253-nucleotide ribosomal RNA is filed under the name uncultured bacterium. RNAcentral describes it as "partial 16S ribosomal RNA". It matches the Rfam family "Bacterial small subunit ribosomal RNA", at positions 524 to 776 of the family's 1533-position model. The record is from RNAcentral.